RNAcentral lists this long non-coding RNA (4539 nucleotides) under Salvia miltiorrhiza (redroot sage). RNAcentral describes it as "long non-coding RNA (SMIL_LNC012388)". Lineage: Eukaryota; Viridiplantae; Streptophyta; Magnoliopsida; Lamiales; Lamiaceae. The record is from RNAcentral.
CGAAACGUAUAACUCCCUUUGAGGGAGAGACUUUGAGGAAAAAUCGAUCCCCAACAUUAAAUUCUAAUUCCAAUCGGCGUUUAUCGGCGUAAGACUUUUGUCUAUCUUGAGUUUCUUUGAUUCUUUGCUUGAUGUGGUCGACUUUCUCAAUCAUCUGUUGGACCAGUUCAGGACCUAACAACAUUCUUUCACCCACUUCAUCUUAGUAAAGUGGUGAACUACCUUAAUUGUUUCCUUCGUCCUAAGUCACCUUCUCAGAUUUGACUAGGGAAUUCUAAUAUCAAACUUUUCUCAUCAUCUUGGUAACUUUCACUUAAAGAUUAAUGGCACUCCUUCUGCCAUGUAAACUCAUUUUCUCAUUUUCAAAUGAUUAUUUAAUGGGGGUUUCUAAGUUUCUAUUGUGGUGGCGUUCCAACUUUAUUCUUGCUGUAGCUUCUGGCACUUUAGCCAAAGCAUUCACUCUCUUAACUUGAGCCUACUAGCCUUGGGGUUGGGUUAUACCUUAAGUUUAGUUCUAGUGCUUUCCUUCCAUUUCCUUUUUCUUUACCUCCACCUUGAGGUGGUGUACAUAUCUUGUUUGUGCGUGAACUUUUUCCUUCUCCAAUUGUUGUAGUGACUCGGUGGUGAGAGUCUCGUUCAUUGCUUGUUCCUUCAUAAUAUCUCCCUAGUUUACUAGGGAAAUUGAAAAUCUCAUGCCGCGAUUUAUUUACGAACUCCUUUACUCAUUUCUCAUUAUUCAUUUAUAAAUGACUUAAAUAAGCAUUUUAAACUCCAUUAAAAUGGAAUUGAUUUAAAACAUUUUAAUCCUUUUAAAAAUCCAUACUCAUAAAGCCUUAACUCAUGCUCUAUCUCAUAUUCUAUCUCUUUACUCAACUUUAUAUAAACUCUCCACUCAUCUCAAAUCCUUAAGUUCAAGGAUAGGUUUCAAGAAAAUCAUGGUACUAAGUCUCGAUUUAUCUCUCAUAUAAGGCUCGUCUAAUCUCAUUCAACACAUAGACAACACAAUCACAUAAGGCACAUAAGAAAACACAAUCAAACAUUAUCAAAACAUGCUCUGUUUUUACACUGACUCAACUUCAAAAUCUAACCUGUUCUUACUCCGACACCUCCUGGACUCGAGACUCAUACCAAAAGAAAGGUCAUCGAGUCUAUUUUCAUAUAAAAAAAAGUAGAGUCAAAAACUCGAAGUAUUGUAGGAGAUAUGACUGUUUUACUACAGUCUACCAUAUUCGGCAGUUUUGAGCAAUCGAAAACUUGGAUUUUUGAAAAAUAGUAAAUGUUGUCAAACUGGGCUCACAUUUUGUGGAUAUCUAGCUAACACAAUAAGGUUAAUACCAUAAAAUUUUGGAAAGCUAGAUCACACAGGAAGCUACUGAAAUGAAUGACUCUUUCCCCUGCUCUCUGAAACUCUCGGUAGUAAUAUGCAGUUUCGGUUUUGUAUUUUAUAAAAAUAGUAAAUGAAGUCCAAAUGACUUGAAAUUUUACCGAUGUUCUCAAGACUCAUGUAGAGACUUGGUAUAAAAUUUUCAAAGCUUUUUGACAUUGAAAAACCGUCGAUCACAGUAGGUCAGUAGGCCUACGAAAUUCACCAAAAUCUCAUCUCAAACUCUUAAAAUACUCAACUCAACAUUCCUUCAAGGAAACUCAUCAAAGCUCAUUUUAAACACAUAUAACACUCACAAACAUUCAGGCACAUUAUAAUGCUCAUCAUACUCAAAUCUUGACUCUCUUCUUACAUCAUAACCUCAAAUCUCUAGUAAAACGUUUCAAUGAACGCAUCAUUAAAAUUCUCUUUUCAUUUUCAUGCACAAAAUUACUCAAUUAUUCAAACAUGAUCUCAUUCAUCAUAUAACUCAUUAUACACAUAUAGAUUCCCUUUUAUCAUGUACUAAACUCUAAUGAAACUUCAUGUAUCAUCAUAAAACUCUUAAUAAAACAUGACAAACUUUCACAUAAUGGUCAUAAAGCAAUUAAACCUCAUUUUAUCAAUCAUCGACUUCUCAAAAUAUGAAAACUCAAAAACUCAUAUAAACUAAACUAAGUCAAAAAUUUCUUAGCCAACAAAAGACUUACUCAAACAUAAUUAUACACUAAUAUCAUGCUCAAAUACAUAUAUCUUAAGCCAAAAUCACUUAAAUAACACUUAGGCAAAAAGUCCUAAUUUUAUUAAACUAAACUCUUUUGAAAAUAUCACUAAUCAUGUAUAACCUAUUUAUCAAAUCAUAGUUCUAACAUCCUAGGUUACCAAUUAGCACAAAUCAACAUCAUAAAACAAGAUCACAUAUAGAUACAUAUGUAUGUCAUCUUCUUCCUCAAACUAACACUUUUCAUUUUUCAUUUCUCAACCUCAAGCUUCAAUCUCAUCCAUCAUUAAUCAUCUAGAUCAUCUCAUAAACUCAAAUCCAUCAUCAAUACAUCAAUUGAUUCAUAGGAUCUCAACAUCCCAAUUUUAGGUAAACUAACCUAAUAGAAAAAUCUAUAUCUCAUGGCUAAUCAUCAAGAUAUUCAUAUAUAUUAACUCAAUAAUCAUCAAUCAUCAUAUAACUCAAGCCAAUUCAAGAAAACAAAUAACAAAAUUUCGUAGGGUUUCAAGCCCCUAAUUUUUGAAAAUUUCAUAGAAAUAAGUUGGGUGAUUUUCUUGCUCAAUCAUGAUCAUAUACUCAUACUUUUCUUAUUUUUUUUUUUUUUGUUAAACUAAACUCAAUCGACUUUCACAUCUCAAAGCAUAUACUUUCACAACACACAUCAAUCAUCAACAAACACCACAUAGAUCUCAUUUUUUUUUUUUCCCAAAUCAAGGAAAGAAAAAGAAAAUUUUUGAAGGGUAAAGACCCAUUUUUUUUUGAAAAUUUUAAGAACAAGGGAGAGGUGAUUUUCUUUCUUCAUACAACAUCAUUCAAGCAAGAUUUAUGGAAUACAUGACCACUUACCCAAAUUUCUCACCAAAACUCACAUUUUCUCACUCUAGCUUGGAAGCCUUUCUUCAAUGAUUCUCUUGAAUAUAAGUAGCUAGGAUGUGUUUAUGGAAGAUUUUAGAGUGGAUUGAGGUGUUUUGUAAAAUUUUUUGGAAGCUCCGAAGGUCUCUUCAAUGGAGGAAAAUGGAGGAAAGUGAGAGAAAGAGGGAGAGAGGUGUUGGUCGAAAAUGAUGAGUGAGGAGUGAGAGAGGAUUUUGCAAGAUUGUAAAUGAUCUUGUGAUCUUUAAAGAGGAUUUUGUAAUCUUAAGGAAAUAUUGGCAAUUAAUGCCUUGAUCUCUCUAAUCUCUACACUCUCUCUCUAAUCUCUACACUCUCUCAAUAAUCUCUACACUCUCUCAAUAAUCUUACACUUGGCAAAUUGUGGUAUUUAGUCACAUGGUAGGGAAAUUAAAGUAAUAGUGUGAGAAGGGUGAUCAAAAAUAAUUCACAAAAACUAUGGAAAUGUACUAAUUAAUAAAAUACCAAUACAUAAUUAUUCAUGUGACCACAUAAAAUAAUUAUAGCACUAAUAUUAGUGCACUCACUCAAUUAUAAUAUUCCUCUCAUAGGAAAAAUAAUUUUAAAACAAAAUAUAUGCUUGGAAAUAUUUUCAUAAACCGGCAUUCUUUGAUUUCUCGGUAAAAAUAAACUGCACUUGCUUUGAAAACUUAAUUAAAAUUCCAAGUGCUAAAAUCAUCAAAUAAAAAUCAUAAUAACUUGCUCACAAUGACAUACGUAACAAAACUUCACAUAAUCAAUCAGUCACGUAAUUUCACAUAAUAUUACGUCAAAGCAGUCGACAAACACAGACAAACUAGACGUCUCUCCGACCGACUUUUUUUUUUUUAUUCAAGGUUUUUUUUUUUUUUCACUCUUUCUUUCUCGACUCUAUUUCCAACUCAUUAUUCCUAUUUUCUUAAUAGGACAGUCAAUCUCUCUGACAUCUCAGUACUCUCAAUAGUGUUAAGACACUAUCUCACAACAUAGGGAAAAGUACGGGGUGUUACAUGUACUAUCAAAUUUAGAUAAAAUUCAUGACUUCAUGCAUAAUUUAAAAUUCAUGUGGCUCAUAUAAAUACAUUUAACUCACCAAUUAAAACUUAUGCACCACAUUUAUAAAAAUUUUCCUUUAACUAAGCACAUUAAAACACAUAUAUAAUGAUUAAAUCACAUCAGAUAAAUCAAACCAGUUUUUAUUAUAAAUGGAUGCCGAAUCCUAAUUAUUAAUAAUUAAGCCCUUAAUCAGGAAUUAAAAGUCGGGGUAUGACAUACUAUCCACUUUAAAAGAAAUUUCGUCACGAAAUUUGUACCACAGAAAAUAAUUCUGGGUACUUCUCAUUCAUGCUAAACUCGAGUUCUCACGUCGCCUCUUCUUGGUCAUGGUGCUUUCAAAGAACUAUUACUAAAGGUAUCGACUUAUUCCUUAGUACUUUAACUUUCCGAUCUAGAAUAGAUUCGGGUCUCUCCUCAUAUCAAUUGGAUUCCUAAUUCCAAUUUAUAUACAUGAGAUUUACUUGAGAAUAAGUUCCCUCGUCCUUUUGCGGCGGUUCAUUACUCCUACCUCAUUCCUAGGGCUCAUCUACGG